GAUGAACGCUGGCGGCGUGCCUAAUACAUGCAAGUCGAGCGAACGGACGAGAAGCUUGCUUUUCUGAUGUUAGCGGCGGACGGGUGAGUAACACGUGGAUAACCUACCUAUAAGACUGGGAUAACUUCGGGAAACCGGAGCUAAUACCGGAUAAUAUUUUGAACCGCAUGGUUCAAAAGUGAAAGACGGUCUUGCUGUCACUUAUAGAUGGAUCCGCGCUGCAUUAGCUAGUUGGUAAGGUAACGGCUUACCAAGGCAACGAUGCAUAGCCGACCUGAGAGGGUGAUCGGCCACACUGGAACUGAGACACGGUCCAGACUCCUACGGGAGGCAGCAGUAGGGAAUCUUCCGCAAUGGGCGAAAGCCUGACGGAGCAACGCCGCGUGAGUGAUGAAGGUCUUCGGAUCGUAAAACUCUGUUAUUAGGGAAGAACAUAUGUGUAAGUAACUGUGCACAUCUUGACGGUACCUAAUCAGAAAGCCACGGCUAACUACGUGCCAGCAGCCGCGGUAAUACGUAGGUGGCAAGCGUUAUCCGGAAUUAUUGGGCGUAAAGCGCGCGUAGGCGGUUUUUUAAGUCUGAUGUGAAAGCCCACGGCUCAACCGUGGAGGGUCAUUGGAAACUGGAAAACUUGAGUGCAGAAGAGGAAAGUGGAAUUCCAUGUGUAGCGGUGAAAUGCGCAGAGAUAUGGAGGAACACCAGUGGCGAAGGCGACUUUCUGGUCUGUAACUGACGCUGAUGUGCGAAAGCGUGGGGAUCAAACAGGAUUAGAUACCCUGGUAGUCCACGCCGUAAACGAUGAGUGCUAAGUGUUAGGGGGUUUCCGCCCCUUAGUGCUGCAGCUAACGCAUUAAGCACUCCGCCUGGGGAGUACGACCGCAAGGUUGAAACUCAAAGGAAUUGACGGGGACCCGCACAAGCGGUGGAGCAUGUGGUUUAAUUCGAAGCAACGCGAAGAACCUUACCAAAUCUUGACAUCCUUUGACAACUCUAGAGAUAGAGCCUUCCCCUUCGGGGGACAAAGUGACAGGUGGUGCAUGGUUGUCGUCAGCUCGUGUCGUGAGAUGUUGGGUUAAGUCCCGCAACGAGCGCAACCCUUAAGCUUAGUUGCCAUCAUUAAGUUGGGCACUCUAAGUUGACUGCCGGUGACAAACCGGAGGAAGGUGGGGAUGACGUCAAAUCAUCAUGCCCCUUAUGAUUUGGGCUACACACGUGCUACAAUGGACAAUACAAAGGGCAGCGAAACCGCGAGGUCAAGCAAAUCCCAUAAAGUUGUUCUCAGUUCGGAUUGUAGUCUGCAACUCGACUACAUGAAGCAGGAAUCGCUAGUAAUCGUAGAUCAGCAUGCUACGGUGAAUACGUUCCCGGGUCU
This 1372-nucleotide ribosomal RNA is filed under the name uncultured bacterium. RNAcentral describes it as "bacterial SSU rRNA". It matches the Rfam family "Bacterial small subunit ribosomal RNA", at positions 28 to 1381 of the family's 1533-position model. The record is from RNAcentral.